Long non-coding RNA from Helianthus annuus (common sunflower), 310 nucleotides. RefSeq lists it as uncharacterized. The transcript has 3 exons. NCBI's taxonomy places the organism in Eukaryota, Viridiplantae, Streptophyta, Magnoliopsida, Asterales, Asteraceae. The record is from RefSeq and is a predicted model, not a curated record.
GGUUUGGCCCUUGUUCCUGUAACUCGAAUCCUAGCCCGAUCGGGUUAACCUGAUAUGCCAGCCCUACCGGUGUUAUUUUGACAAUAUCAAUUCGUUUCUCAAGGUACGUGAAGCUUAAAGGAUGUUUUUCGGGAGUUGUACGGGAGUUAGAAAGAUAUGAAGGAAAGAGGAUAGAAGAUAAUAGGGUGAAUAUGGGUUUGGAGGGUGUUUAUGGCGAGUUUGGAUGAAAAUUCGAAGCCGGAGGCAAAAACUGAGCAAGAAUCACCUCAUGAACCUAAAACAACUUAUUCAAUAAAAAAAAAAAAAAAAA